AACCUACGGGGUGUACUUGGGAACGAGGGGUGAAGCGGCCCAGGUGAGGCUCGCCAUGGCCAAACAGCUGCAGGCCCGAAGGCUAGACGGGAUCGACUACAACCCCUGGGUGGAGUUUGUGAAACUGGCCAGUGAGCAUGACGUCGUGAACUUGGGCCAGGGCUUCCCGGAUUUCCCACCACCAGAAUUUGCCGUGGAAGCCUUUCAGCACGCUGUCAGUGGAGACUUCAUGCUCAACCAGUACACCAAGACAUUUGCUGGUCUCAGAGCUGGUUGGAAAGUUCCUUCUUUGAUCCAAAAAAAAAAAAUCAUUUGGGGUUACCCACCACUGACGAAGAUCCUGGCAAGUUUCUUUGGGAAGCUGCUGGGUCAGGAGAUAGACCCGCUCAGGAAUGUGCUGGUGACUGUUGGUGGCUAUGGGGCCCUGUUCACAGCCUUCCAGGCCCUGGUGGACGAAGGAGACGAGGUGAGUGGGCAAGACUUGGGCUGAGUGGGACUGAGAGGUCAGGGCCAUGCUGACUCCAGCUGAUUUGACCCUUAUAUCAGGUCAUCAUCAUCGAACCCUUUUUUGACUGCUACGAGCCCAUGACAAUGAUGGCAGGGGGUCAUCCUGUGUUUGUGCCCCUGAAGCCGGGUCCCAUCCAGAAUGGAGAACUGGGUUCCAGCAGCAACUGGCAGCUGGACCCCAUGGAGCUG
RNAcentral lists this small RNA (696 nucleotides) under Pan troglodytes (chimpanzee). Its description in RNAcentral is "processed transcript". Lineage: Eukaryota; Metazoa; Chordata; Mammalia; Primates; Hominidae. The record is from RNAcentral.